GACGAACGCUGGCGGCGUGCUUAACACAUGCAAGUCGAACGGAAAGGCCCUGCUUGCAGGGUACUCGAGUGGCGAACGGGUGAGUAACACGUGGGUGAUCUGCCCUGCACUUCGGGAUAAGCCUGGGAAACUGGGUCUAAUACCGGAUAGGAGCCAUUUUUAGUGUGAUGGUUGGAAAGUUUUUUCGGUGUAGGAUGAGCUCGCGGCCUAUCAGCUUGUUGGUGGGGUAAUCGCCUACCAAGGCGGCGACGGGUAGCCGGCCUGAGAGGGUGGACGGCCACAUUGGGACUGAGAUACGGCCCAGACUCCUACGGGAGGCAGCGGUGGGGAAUAUUGCACAAUGGGCGCAAGCCUGAUGCAGCGACGCCGCGUGGGGGAUGACGGCCUUCGGGUUGUAAACUCCUUUCGCUAGGGACGAAGCUUUUUGUGACGGUACCUAGAUAAGAAGCACCGGCUAACUACGUG
RNAcentral lists this ribosomal RNA (465 nucleotides) under uncultured bacterium. RNAcentral's name for it is "partial 16S ribosomal RNA". It matches the Rfam family "Bacterial small subunit ribosomal RNA", at positions 28 to 507 of the family's 1533-position model. The record is from RNAcentral.